CAAAGAAUAGUUUAAAUUAGAACCC
RNAcentral lists this transfer RNA (25 nucleotides) under Macquaria ambigua (golden perch). RNAcentral's name for it is "partial tRNA-Pro". Lineage: Eukaryota; Metazoa; Chordata; Actinopteri; Centrarchiformes; Percichthyidae. The record is from RNAcentral.